RNAcentral lists this ribosomal RNA (253 nucleotides) under uncultured bacterium. RNAcentral describes it as "partial 16S ribosomal RNA". It matches the Rfam family "Bacterial small subunit ribosomal RNA", at positions 524 to 776 of the family's 1533-position model. The record is from RNAcentral.
UACGGAGGAUGCAAGCGUUAUCCGGAAUGAUUGGGCGUAAAGCGUCCGCAGGUGGCUGUGUAAGUCUGCUGUUAAAGAGUGAGGCUCAACCUCAUAAAAGCAGUGGAAACUACACGGCUAGAGUGCGUUCGGGGCAGAGGGAAUUCCUGGUGUAGCGGUGGAAUGCGCAGAUAUCAGGAGGAACACCGAUAGCGAAGGCAGCUCGCUGGGACGGUACUGACGCUGAGGCGCGAAAGCGUGGGGAGCAAACGGG